RNAcentral lists this long non-coding RNA (399 nucleotides) under Ananas comosus (pineapple). RNAcentral describes it as "long non-coding RNA (ACOM_LNC031897)". Lineage: Eukaryota; Viridiplantae; Streptophyta; Magnoliopsida; Poales; Bromeliaceae. The record is from RNAcentral.
UUGGAAAAAAUUAGUUCUCUUUCGAAAUUUUUAGUCAAAUAUUUGUAUAAACAAUUUUGUUUGAAAACAACUUAUCCACUGUUUUUUUAGAAACGUUGAUUAAGAACGAAAUAAAUGAAAGCUAUAGAGAAUAAAGGAUUAGAUGGAGCCUGUGAGUCGAGGCGUGCGAUUGCACUGUCCUAGAAGCAAGAUUGCCCCUCCACGUACGAGGCGCCGGCAAUCACUCCUAGCGAUACAACGACCUUCGUCCACCCCGUCGGCACGGCUUCAGGGUGGCGCAAGAACGAACCGUCACAGAGCAAGUGAGGGUCUCUUUCCAAUGUGGGACUAAACACCACAUAAAAAGAGACCAAAGCUUGGGCUCCCAGGCAAGGCCCAUUGACAGUGGGCUGCCCACAA